Molecule: RNA transcript, 5217 nt
Organism: Aedes aegypti (yellow fever mosquito)
Lineage: Eukaryota; Metazoa; Arthropoda; Insecta; Diptera; Culicidae
Gene: Psi
Gene name: far upstream element-binding protein 1
Exons: 7
Source: RefSeq, a predicted model, not a curated record
CCGACCGCCGCGUCAUUCAUCAGUUUUCUCUUGCCGUGAGUGGGUCGUGCUUCUUGUGUGAUGUGCGGAAAAAUUGUGUCCUCCAUACCCGUGCCCAGCAGCAGCAGUAGCAGCAGAUUAUUCAUCCAUCAGCAGCAGCAGCGCUACCUUUUUUCUUUAGUUUUUUGUUGAGUUUUCCGCCCGGAAAACCCGGUUUUCUCUUCAGUUUUUUUUCUGCUAGUUGGUUAAACCCGUUCCGAUGAAAAAACGGUCCAAAAGAAGUAGUAGUGAAAAAUCCCUUUCCCGACGUUAGGAAUUUUACUAGUGGCCAAGAAAAGAAGCAAGAAGAGGAAUAAAAAGUGGGCUGCCAAGCGACGACGGUGCGAGACGAGAAACAGACAAUAAUUUUCUUAAAAGUGCUCGUGGAUUUUCGAGCGAAAAGGAGAAAAAAUUGCCAAAUUUGCGGCGACGAAUCGGAAAAACGGUGGCGGAAAAGCGCAUUUUGUGCGAGACUGGCUGAAAAAGUGUUCUGGGUGUGCAAUUACCGUGCGAGGACCAUUUUUACUUUAUUGGUUUAUUUAUUUUAAUAAUGAGUGAUUAUUCCAACCAGAACUCGCAAAAUUUUAGUCAAUCGUCAGCAUUUGCAGCCGCUUUACAGAGAGCUAAACAAAUUGCAGCUAAAAUACACCCGGGUGGUAACCAACCGGUUAAGAGAUCGAUUGAGGACGACUCGGGACCAGAAUCGAAAAAGUUUGGUGGACAGUCCGAUUAUAACAAUGCCCAUUCGCCGACUGGCAUGAGUCCAGCUGCUAUGCAAGCCGCUGCUCAAGCUGCAGCCGUAGCCGCACGUUUGUCGCAAAUCAAUAAUAACUCAAACUCGAACUCAACCGCCGGUGGAGCACAGGAUCCAGUCCAGAGAGCACGUGACCUUAUUAGCAAGAUGGUGAACCAACAGGGAGGCGGUGGCCACAAUGGCCCAAUGGACAAUGGCAACCAUGGUGGUGCCGGAGGCGGUGGCCGCGGAGGAUUCGGCGGAGGCCCAGGAAACUUCAAUAACCAACCCUACCAAGAAAUAAUGAUCCCCGGUUCCAAGGUGGGACUGAUCAUUGGUAAAGGAGGCGAAACAAUCAAACAACUGCAGGAGAAAUCCGGAGCCAAAAUGGUCAUUAUCCAAGAUGGACCAGGACAGGAAAUGGAAAAACCACUACGUAUUUCCGGCGAUCCACAAAAGGUGGAACAUGCCAAACAGCUGGUCUUUGACCUUAUCCAGGAGAAGGAUAACUAUAACGCCCAACGACAACAGCAGGCACCAAUGAACGGAACCGAACAGGCGGAAGUCUUCGUUCCAAAGUCAGCAGUUGGCGUCGUCAUCGGCAAAGGAGGUGACAUGAUCAAAAAGAUUCAGGGCGAUUCUGGCUGCAAGCUGCAGUUCAUUCAGGGUCGUGGUGACGGACCGGGUGACCGUCGUUGCAUUGUGCAAGGCUCCAGGGCUCAAGUCGAAGAGGGAAAACGAAUGAUCGAGGAGCUGAUCGAAAGUGUCCAACGCCGAGAACAAGGUGGUGGUGGACGCGGAGGUCGGGGUGGCGAUCGGGAUGACCGCGGAGAUCGGGGAGAUCGACCGCAUCGGGGUGGCCGUGACAACCACGACAACGGCAACAAUGGACAGUAUGGCAAUGACUUCAGUGGUCCGCAAGUCACACGAGAAGAAUACACGUUCACGGUUCCGGUUAACAAGUGUGGUAUUAUCAUCGGCCGCGGUGGAGACACCAUCAAGCAGAUCAACCAGCAGUCUGGAGCCCACACCGAAAUGGAUCGCAAGGCGUCCGCUAACCAGACGAACGAGAAAACUUUCACCACAAAGGGUGAACCACACCAAAUUGAGGAAGCGAAGCGAUUGAUCCAGGACAAGAUCAACAUGGAAAUCAAUCUGGUCUACGUUGGUACCUCGACUGCUCCCGCCCAACAGUAUCAGAACAAUGGCCAACAGAAUGCCUAUGGUCAGAGCUGGGGUGGCUAUCAGCAACAGUCGUGGGAACAAACCCCUCAGGUACAAGCCAGUGCGGCGUCCGCUGCGGCAGUCCAACAGCAACAGCAAGCUGGUGGUGGACAAGCGGACUACUCGCAGCAAUGGAUUGAAUACUAUCGACAAAUGGGAAUGCACCGGGAGGCAGAGAUGAUCGAACAACAGGUCAAGGCACGACAGGCGGCAUCGCAACAAGGCGCAGCGGCAGCAGUGGCAGCGACGGUCCAAACGACACAAGGUACAUCAGUGGUUGCAACGAGCAAUGCCGGAGCUCAACAGGCGAGUGGCGGAGGCGGCGGUGGUGGCCAAGCGGAUUACAGUGCCGAAUGGGCCGAGUACUACCGACGACUCGGUAGGAUCGACGAAGCCGAGGCGAUUGAAAAGCAAAUCGCUGCUAAUAAGUCUGUGCCGUCUGGGGCUGGUAGCGGAGGUCAACCGGGAGGUGCAGCUGGGCAGCAAUUUGGCGGUGCCGGUGGAGCACCCGGAGGCGCUGGUGGUGGCAAUCCACAACAGAUGGCAGCACAGCAAGCAGCCGGAGGUUUCAAUGCCCAACAGUUCCAACAGUACUACGCGGGGGCAGCCGCCGGAGGCCAACCCGGAGGAUACCAAGGGUAUCCCUAUGGGGGAGGAUAUCCGGGACAGCAAGGUGGACAACCUGGUCAGCAACAAGGCGGCCAGGGCCCGGACAAAAACUAACGAGUGUACGCUAGAUGUGCGUACCAGAGUCGAAUGCUCCACCCACCCGAUGACGACUUUUCUCCCCCUUCCAAUCCCGUAAAAUGUUAAGAUUAUGAAUGCUAUAUAACCAUAUGUAUCGACUAUUCGACAGAAAUACAGAGUAACAAAACUAGCGUUGAAGCUAUGUAGGUCAAAUGAAAAACUAGGGUUGAUCACAGCUUAAUAGUAAAAGCAGAAAAACACAGACACUAAACGUAGCUAUAAUCAAGAAACUGAAAAGAACAAGAACAUUCAACUUAACGUAAACGUAAAGAAAGCGUAGUAAACUAAACAUUAACCAAAUGCAUUCAAAUUCAAUAGAAUCUAUAUAUGUGUAUGUGUCCGUUUGAAACUUUAGGUUUUGGAUGGGUUUGAUUCCGGGUAUGACGGUACCGUGCAAAAGUAACUGUUCUACACUGCGACGAAAAAAACCAAGCGAGAACUGUGCGGUGCGUUUCCUGUAAUAGUCUCCCGAACUACGGCGGGUCUUUGAGGGUUCGCUUCUGUGUCAAUAUUUUACCCGAAAGCGAACUCUCCCAGUCAUAUUGGCGCAUCUGAAUACACUGCUACAAAUGAGUUCCUUUUAGAUUAUGGUAUAUAUGUUUUUCGAAUUAUAUGCUUUACCAAAUGAUGUAGACAAUUCCAUAUAGAUGCCACUAUCAUACGAUUAAACUAAAUACUAAACUUAUUAAAUGAAUUGAUAUCACACUGUUCUAUAUUAUUAUAUUUAUCAUUUCAUUUACCUUAUCAUAAACAUCUAUUUUAUUAAAUAAGAAAAAUGGCCAUUUUUCUUUGACAUUUAUACUAUUUUAUUACCAAUCGUAUGUCCCAUUCUUUAUUUUCUCAAGCUUCUUUUUACUUUCAUCGACAAGAUCAUCAAAAAACAGACGCUAACAGUGCAGGUUUUAGCUAAAGUUGCCGGAGGAUAUUGGCGUAGGGACGUACGGGGAAAAUAUAGUGCGAGUUUGAUCUCGUCCGACCGGGAAGGUAAUUUUCAUACAGUAAACUACUGCUUUAUGAUGAUUUUUACAACUAAAUUUACUAUUAUAUGAUCUGUAUCUGUAAUAUUCAUGCCACUAUAUGAUACUGUGUAAUGAUGUGUUUAUCUAUAGAACCAUACACAACUUGCCACAUUUAACUUACUUCUGAAUGCAUUGAUUUCCCAAUAUCAAAGUGUUAUUCUGUUCUAAAAAAUGGUCAAUGUUCUUAUAUCAGAUGGACUCAUGAAUAAUUGUAUAUUGAUUUAUCUUCGGAAUUGUUUAAAUCUGCAACAGCUAAAGUGUGUAAUUCGAUUGCCUCCCCCAAACAAAGGAGCGUCGCCUAGUGUGGUGUUCAAAUCGGCAUGGAAACCGUUGGAAAGUUGUGGAACAGUGAAGAAUCAAACACAACAAAUACUACAAAGUUCUCAGUUUCUCGUUAUCAUACUCUUGUGGUUUAACAGUCCAGUAAAUACCCGAAGAAACAAAGAAAAAUGAACAAUAGUAACAGACAAACAAGCAAAGACACUUCAAUGAAAGGUGAUAAUUAUAAACUCAGAAAAGCCAAACAUAGUUCAGAAGACAGUUUCAAACAAAGACAAAUAUAGUGAAUCGAACAAUGGCAAAAAAAGUGACUGGAGAGCAGUUUCUGAAAGGCUUCUCCCUCCUGUAAUAAAGGGAAACCAAACAAGGAUACGAAACAUGAUGACGGAGUGUGAACCCAAGGUGAGAUUGUAUCGAGAAUUGCGUUAAAUGUGAAUGAUUUUGAUUUUAUUUACUGAUGUUUAAUUACAUUUGUCGCUCCCAUAUUGCGUGUCACAAUGUUUCACAUGCAAUCCAUAAAAAAUAAACAUUUGAAUGAAACAAUGUGUAUAGUCAAGGGUUUAUUGAUUCCGUAAUCUUAGACACGAGAACGUUCAAAUACAUCCUCCCCCAAAAGUUAGCUUAUCUAAUAACAUAUUUUAGUACCAUAAGAUAUCAAUUAUUAUCUACACCCAUAAUGCACAUUACAUGAAGCAACAGUUUUAUCUCAAUAGUUCUGCUCCAAAAGCAUAAAAGAGCAUUCUUUUAUUUCCUAUGUCACUGCAAUCUAUUCCAAAUGAUCACUUGAAUAAAUUUCGAACACUGAUUAGAUUCACUUAUUCUAGAUAGGAAUAAAGAAAUAAAAGUGUCAGUGUGCAAAAGUUUGUUCCGCUCAAUCGCAGCGCAGCGGUUCACCAAGAAGUUGUCCGGAAUCUGGUUAUACCCGUCGACAGCGAGAACGAGGCUGGCUUCCAUACAUCACUCCAGAUUGCGCGGCCACGAUGACUACGUGUCGCUACAGCAGUAGUGUAAUAGAUCUCAUUUUUUUUUCUGAGUUUACUACCGUUUUGUUUGCAUCCAGAAGACAUGUAAUGCAACCUGGAUUAGGGAUAGCCAUCCCAGUUUGGUGUGAGCAGUUAAUUAUUCUGGAGAGUAAGCAAAGUGAGUUACUUGUAUCUUUUUCUUGUUCGGUUAAAUACAGCUGUUCGUCAUACCCAG